This 76-nucleotide transfer RNA is filed under the name Robiginitomaculum sp. RNAcentral describes it as "tRNA-Asn". It matches the Rfam family "tRNA". From Rfam's summary of the family: Transfer RNA (tRNA) molecules are approximately 80 nucleotides in length. Their secondary structure includes four short double-helical elements and three loops (D, anti-codon, and T loops). RNAcentral also lists the same sequence under 2 other names. Lineage: Bacteria; Pseudomonadati; Pseudomonadota; Alphaproteobacteria; Maricaulales; Robiginitomaculaceae. The record is from RNAcentral.
UCCUCGGUAGCUCAGUUGGUAGAGCAAGUGACUGUUAAUCACUGGGUCGGCGGUUCGAGCCCGUCCCGAGGAGCCA